Molecule: transfer-messenger RNA, 347 nt
Filed under: Alphaproteobacteria bacterium
Lineage: Bacteria; Pseudomonadati; Pseudomonadota; Alphaproteobacteria
Rfam family: Alphaproteobacteria transfer-messenger RNA
About the family: Bacterial tmRNA, also known as 10Sa RNA or SsrA, is named for its dual tRNA and mRNA-like properties. Its role is to liberate the mRNA from a stalled ribosome.
Source: RNAcentral
UAUCUUGAAUUUUUAAAAUUCGCCGUUAUACUGAGAGAAGUUUCUCUUUUUGAAACUAUGAUACGAAAAGCCGUAUGAAAUAGGUAUAUUGGACCCGGGGGCGGUACCCGGCGCCUCCACCAAAAAUCUUUUAAGGGGGCGAAACAGGUUUGACAGUAUAUAGUAAAGAUAUGAGGCUGUAUUCGGCAGGAUACCACCGUUAUCGGUUCAAAUAAAAUAAACGCAAAUGAUAAUUUUGCACCUGUUGCCGUAGCUGCUUAAUCAGGCAAAGCAACAAACUAAAAUUCUUUAGGCUUUGGUUAGCAUAAAGUGGGGAAGGAGCCGCCUAGCAACAGAACGGCUCAUUU